RNAcentral lists this ribosomal RNA (253 nucleotides) under uncultured bacterium. Its description in RNAcentral is "partial 16S ribosomal RNA". It matches the Rfam family "Bacterial small subunit ribosomal RNA", at positions 524 to 776 of the family's 1533-position model. The record is from RNAcentral.
GACAGAGGAUGCAAGCGUUAUCCGGAAUGAUUGGGCGUAAAGUGUCUGUAGGUGGCUUUUUAAGUCCUCCGUCAAAUCCCAGGGCUCAACCCCGGACAGGCGGUGGAAACUGACAAGCUGGAGUACGGUAGGGGCAGAGGGAAUUUCCGGUGGAGCGGUUAAAUGCGUAGAGAUCGGAAAGAACACCAACGGCGAAAGCACUCUGCUGGACCGAUACUGACACUCAGAGACGAAAGCUAGGGGAGCGAAUGGG